UGCCAGAUAGCCAUGCAUGUCUAAGUACACACGAAUUAAAAGUGAAACCGCAAAAGGCUCAUUAUAUCAGUUAUGGUUUAUUAGAUCGUUAACAGUUACUUGGAUAACUGUGGUAAUUCUAGAGCUAAUACAUGCAAUAUAAACACGGACCUUAUGGAACGUGUGCUUUUAUUAGGCUAAAACCAUGCGAUUUUUUCGAAAAUCGUUAUAAUGGUUGAACUCUAGAUAAUUUGCCGAUCGUAUGGUCUCGUACCGACGACAGAUCUUUCAAAUGUCUGCCCUAUCAACUAUUGAUGGUAGUAUCUAGGACUACCAUGGUUGCAACGGGUAACGGGGAAUCAGGGUUCGAUUCCGGAGAGGGAGCCUGAGAAACGGCUACCACAUCUAAGGAAGGCAGCAGGCGCGUAAAUUACCCACUCCCAGUUCGGGGAGGUAGUGACGAAAAAUAACAAUACAGGACUCAUAUCCGAGGCCCUGUAAUUGGAAUGAGUACACUUUAAAUCCUUUAACAAGGACCUAUUGGAGGGCAAGUCUGGUGCCAGCAGCCGCGGUAAUUCCAGCUCCAAUAGCGUAUAUUAAAGUUGUUGCGGUUAAAACGUUCGUAGUUGAACUUGUGCUUCAUACGGGUAGUAUAACUAUAAUUGUGGAUUGUACAUUACCUUAUGUAUGUAAGCGUAUUACCGGUGGAGUUCUAAUAUAUAAUAAUACUUGUAUUUUUAUGUAUACCUCCUAUUUAAACCUACUUCAGUGCUCUUCAUCGAGUGUGUKGUCCGUAA
RNAcentral lists this ribosomal RNA (776 nucleotides) under Pipiza femoralis. Its description in RNAcentral is "SSU rRNA". It matches the Rfam family "Eukaryotic small subunit ribosomal RNA", at positions 37 to 811 of the family's 1831-position model. The record is from RNAcentral. Lineage: Eukaryota; Metazoa; Arthropoda; Insecta; Diptera; Syrphidae.